Molecule: long non-coding RNA, 412 nt
Organism: Notolabrus celidotus (New Zealand spotty)
Lineage: Eukaryota; Metazoa; Chordata; Actinopteri; Labriformes; Labridae
Exons: 3
Source: RefSeq, a predicted model, not a curated record
UGAAGUUGUUCCAAAGCUGAGAAGGACAAAAAGCAUUCAGAUGAAAAAAGUUCCAGAUUUUUCUGAUGCUCUCUACGAUUCAAGUGAUGACAGUACAGAGGGCCCUUCAACUCAGUCCAAGUCUGAGAUGGCUUCACAAAGGCCAAGGAGAGGCUGUUACCGUCCUAUUCAAAAGAUUCUUGUAGGAUCAGAUGCCUCAAGUGUAGAUAGUGGAGAGGAGUAUGUUCCAGGUCGAAUGGAGGAGAGCACAGACAGUGACUGCAGCUUGGAAAUACCCAUGGAAAAUAAAAAUAUGAACAAAGUAUCUACUAGUCCAAAAAGAUGCAAGCCUUCCAGUAAGGAUAGGUUCAAGUCUUCAAGUCAGAGCACAUUUAAGUCUUCAAGUCAGAAAAACUUUGAGUCCUCCAGCCAG